Molecule: ribosomal RNA, 496 nt
Filed under: uncultured bacterium
Lineage: Bacteria
Description: partial 16S ribosomal RNA
Rfam family: Bacterial small subunit ribosomal RNA
Source: RNAcentral
AUGCACGCUGGCGGCGUGCCUAAUACCUGCACGUCGAGCGAACAGACGAGGAGCUUGCUCCUCUGACGUUAGCGGCGGACGGGUGAGUAACACGUGGAUAACCUACCUAUAAGACUGGGAUAACUUCGGGAAACCGGAGCUAAUACCGGAUAAUAUAUUGAGCCGCAUGGUUCAAUAGUGAAAGACGGUUUUGCUGUCACUUAUAGAUGGAUCCGCGCCGCAUUAGCUAGUUGGUAAGGUAACGGCUUACCAAGGCAACGAUGCGUAGCCGACCUGAGAGGGUGAUCGGCCACACUGGAACUGAGACACGGUCCAGACUCCUACGGGAGGCAGCAGUAGGGAAUCUUCCGCAAUGGGCGAAAGCCUGACGGAGCAACGCCGCGUGAGUGAUGAAGGUCUUCGGAUCGUAAAACUCUGUUAUUAGGGAAGAACAAAUGUGUAAGUAACUAUGCACGUCUUGACGGUACCUAAUCAGAAAGCCACGGCUAACUACGUG